Molecule: non-coding RNA, 3249 nt
Organism: Tetranychus urticae (two-spotted spider mite)
Lineage: Eukaryota; Metazoa; Arthropoda; Arachnida; Trombidiformes; Tetranychidae
Source: RefSeq, a predicted model, not a curated record
UUUUUUCGUAUCUUAAUUUAUGUUUAACCAUUUUGUUUAAUAUUUUUAUUCUUAAGAGUUAUUUACUUUAAUUUUAAUUUCGUUAUUUAGUUUGUUUGUGUUGAUUAAAUGUGAAUAAGAGGGAAAUUUAUUCUAGCCUUGUUCAUUGAUGAGAUUCAUGAUGGUUACAUGUUAGAGAACAAAAAAACAUGCUAAUGCACAUGAUGUAACAACAGUGUUACUAUUACACUUAAGUCUUGUCUGUUUACCUCCAAUUAUAAUCAGGUUAAUGAUUGUUUAGCUUGUCUUUUUAUUUUUAUUAUUUAAUUUUUACCACUUUUUACUUUAAUUUUGUGUUCACCAUUUCCUUUAUCUUUGUUUUUACCACCCGUUUUUUUUAUAAAAUUGUGAAAUCAACUGUUACCAUUAAGCCUCUUCCAUGUAUUACUGUUUCUAUGAUUUGUUUUAUGUGCUGUUGGCUGUUGAUAUUUGAUAAAUCACUGGAUGGAUUCUGAUUAUGAUUGUUAAUUAUUUAAUGGCUGAGUAAUUAGAUGUAUUAUAUCAAGGUGUUAUCACCAAAAUAAAAUACAGAUUAUCAUCAUUAUUAUAUCUCGUAAUUCUGAUAUCAUUCUCAUCAAUAUCAAGUCUUAAUGAUGCAUGUAGAUUAUGUGGAUAGUUUUGGCAAAUGAAUGAAACUCACAAUUGUCAGAUAAGAUUUGCAUUGAAACUGAAAAGGAUCACCAAUUCUUUCUCAUUAUUUUUUGGUUAUUAAUGUUUUUUUGUUAUCUUCAAGUUUCACUUCAGAUCAAGUUUCAUGUCAAUUGAAAGCGAUCCAUGUUAAUGGCCAAUUGGUCAAGCAGUUAAUUGUAAAAUAAUUGUGAACGGGAAAAAUAAUUUGGACAAAAGCGUCGUUAUGAUCACUUGGUAACAAAAAAAUUAAGAGUGAAAAAAGGAUUCAAGAAUUAGGAAAUUGUUGGUUGAUAAAUUGUUUAUUAUCUGGUUAUUAUGCCAAGAAUAAUGAUGAUGAAGAUGAUGGUCGAUUGAUUGAUUUAAUUGAGUAAUCAAGUGAAAUAUAGCUGAAGUGAAUCAUUUACUUUGAAGAGUACAACUACAACAGCAUCAACAGCAGCAAAAAGGGUGAUAAAAUGAAACAAUGAGGAUGAUAUACAUUUCACUCGGUUAUACUCGAUAGAAUUGAGUUCAUCAAGUAAAAAGGAGUAAAAAGGAUAACUCUAUGGAAAUGUUAUUAAAAUAUUAGGAUAACAAGAAAUUGCAGGUGUAUGAUGGCACAAAAUAGGAAUAACAACAAGAAAAAGAAAAUGAUAAAAUGAGAAAAAGAUCUUAUUUUGAUUAAUCUGGAUAUGGAGACAGAAAAAGACGAAUUGGAUUAAAAAAGUUCAACCAUUUAAAUUAUCAAGACAUCACUUUACGGACAAAAUAAUGAGACAAACAGAAGGGAAAAAAAGAAGUGAAAAGCAAGAAAAGUAAUGGCAAAGAAACCUAUGGAAAGAGUUACUCUACAUCAACUGUAUUUACCAUGUCAUCAAAAUUACAGGAGAAACUGAUAAACCAUUUGGAUGAUGAAUUAUUUUGUAUAAAAUAUUAACGAAGGAGAAGCAAAAGAGAAAGAAGCCUUUUUGUCAUCUUAUUUACUCAUGGAUUGUUUCAUCUUUUGCUCUCUUGAUUUUGGUUCUGUUCAAGAUGGAAAACCAACAAGUCUAAAACAUUUAUCCAAUCAUUCAUGGGGAAAUUUAGGUCAAAGGUCACUCGACUAUCCAUUGAUGAUAACUACGUAAAUUGGUGUAAGGCGGGAGGAAAAGGAAGCGAAAGAGAUAAAAUAGAUUCUGUUUGAAGAUCAUACUCUCACCCUUGCAUGAUCUUGCACAGAAGAUAUUUUUUUGAAUAAAAAUAGAUAGCGAGGUGUUUCUACCCUCCAUAUUGAUUAUAUCAUUGCAAUUGAGUGAUAGUGUGUGUGUAUGUGUCAGUGAGAGAAGGGAAAAAAAGAGCAAAGUAAGGAAGAGUAGAAUCAGAUGAUGAAAAAGAGGCAACAUGAAAAGAAAGAUAAAUGAAAUCUCAAGAUGAUAGAUAAGGGAAUGUAAGGAGAGCAAGUUGGUGAUCAAGAGCGAAUACGAGAUGGAAAUGUCAAUAUGUAUUAAUGUUGACAGCCUGUUGCUUAUUUCUGUAUCUGACCUUCAUUAGAAUUGACCCCUUUCACCAAAGAAGUUAUCAUCAUCAUAGUCAAUAUAAUAACAAUAUAACUCUCUCCAGUGAAGCAAACUAAAGAAACUGACGUUGCUGAUUUUCAGCAGCUAACAUAUUGUUUACCUUUUUACACUGAAAUCAAUACCAAGAAAGCCAAGUAAAGCAACAAUUUGAAAGAAACAGUUGAACACAAGAGGAAAUUGGUUAAAGGAAAUGGUUUCCAUCAAAAUAUCAAGACAAGUUUGGAGAAUAAAGCAGAAUGAGAAGCAAAAAACGUCCAAAAUAUUUGAAAAAGACUAUCUUUUUCUUCAUCUUCACCAGGUUUCCACCAGGAAAGUUCAUUAUAUCAAAAAAAGUGCAAAAUCCUAACGGUGCAAAGGUUGCCUGUCUUCAUUUUUUCAUAACCAUCUUCAACUUUAUCUGUCUCUUUCUACUUGUUUCUCAAUGGUUGAGAGUAUCGUUAAAGCGCGGGUAAACGCUUCAGGUGAUGACAGUUAUGGCGCAGUAAGGGAAAGAGAUGAUGACGACAGAUAAAAAAGAGGAUUGUAAACCUUACCUGAUUACCAUCACAUCGCCAUCACAUUUCAUUCCAUCUAUCUGAUUGAUGUAAAUUUUAUCGUAAACUGAACCAUGUUUCAACGUUGCUACAUUACUUGUUCAAAGAUAUGUUCAAGGUAUUGCAAGAUAAACCCCAUUCAGACCAACCAUUCACCUAGACUGGAGCGCAUUAAUCAUAAUCAACAAUAAUUUUCCAUUUCCGCUCUGAUCAUAAUCAACGACUUACAAAAAAAACGUCAAUCAACGCACUGUGAUGGCACACGUUUCAGGUCAAAUUCCGAUCAACAGUAAAGAGGAGAAAGAAAGAAAGAUGAUGAGAAAAAGCAAGAGAGGAAACUUGAAUGGUUGAGUGAGAAUAACGAAAAGAGAAGAUAUAAAUAUAUAUAUAUUUAUGAGAGAGUAAGGAAGAGAAGGAAAAAUGAAGAGCGGGAUUCAACGUCACGUUACGUUCAGCAGUAAGAGUCAAAAAAGGGCGCACGUUACAGGGUUAAAUUUGAGCUUGAUUAAAAG